CCUACGGGUGGCACCAGUGGGGAAUAUUGCACAAUGGGCGCAAGCCUGAUGCAGCCAUGCCGCGUGUAUGAAGAAGGCCUUCGGGUUGUAAAGUACUUUCAGCGGGGAGGAAGGUGUUGUGGUUAACAACCACAGCAAUUGACGUUACCCGCAGAAGAAGCACCGGCUAACUCCGUGCCAGCAGCCGCGGUAAUACGGAGGGUGCAAGCGUUAAUCGGAAUUACUGGGCGUAAAGCGCACGCAGGCGGUCUGUCAAGUCGGAUGUGAAAUCCCCGGGCUCAACCUGGGAACUGCAUUCGAAACUGGCAGGCCAGAGUCUUGUGGAGGGGGGGUAGAAUUCCAGGUGUAGCGGUGAAAUGCGUCGAGAUCUGGAGGAAUACCGGUGGCGAAGGCGGCCCCCUGGACAAAGACUGACGCUCAGGUGCGAAAGCGUGGGGAGCAAACAGGAUUAGAUACCCGAGUAGUC
RNAcentral lists this ribosomal RNA (466 nucleotides) under uncultured bacterium. RNAcentral's name for it is "bacterial SSU rRNA". It matches the Rfam family "Bacterial small subunit ribosomal RNA", at positions 338 to 795 of the family's 1533-position model. The record is from RNAcentral.